RNAcentral lists this ribosomal RNA (1448 nucleotides) under uncultured prokaryote. RNAcentral describes it as "partial 16S ribosomal RNA". It matches the Rfam family "Bacterial small subunit ribosomal RNA". The record is from RNAcentral.
AACGCUAGCGGCAGGCCUAAUACAUGCAAGUCGAACGGUAAGGUCUCUUCGGAGAUACACGAGUGGCGCACGGGUGAGUAACGCGUAUGCAACCUACCUUUAACUGGAGGAUAGCCCCGAGAAAUCGGGAUUAAUACUUCAUAAUAAUAUAAAACGACAUCGUUUAAUAUUUAAAGCUCCGGCGGUUAAAGAUGGGCAUGCGUGACAUUAGAUAGUUGGUGAGGUAACGGCUCACCAAGUCCACGAUGUCUAGGGGUUCUGAGAGGAUUAUCCCCCACACUGGUACUGAGACACGGACCAGACUCCUACGGGAGGCAGCAGUAAGGAAUAUUGGUCAAUGGACGCAAGUCUGAACCAGCCAUGCCGCGUGCAGGAUUGACGGCCCUACGGGUUGUAAACUGCUUUUAUAUAGGAAGAAACCCAUCUACGUGUAGAUGGCUGACGGUACUAUAAGAAUAAGGACCGGCUAACUCCGUGCCAGCAGCCGCGGUAAUACGGAGGGUCCAAGCGUUAUCCGGAUUCAUUGGGUUUAAAGGGUCCGCAGGCGGGAAAAUAAGUCAGUGGUGAAAUCCUACAGCUCAACUGUAGAACUGCCAUUGAUACUGUUUUUCUUGAGUAUAGAUGAAGUGGGCGGAAUGUGUCAUGUAGCGGUGAAAUGCAUAGAUAUGACACGGAACACCGAUUGCGAAGGCAGCUCACUAAACUAUUACUGACGCUCAGGGACGAAAGCGUGGGGAGCGAACAGGAUUAGAUACCCUGGUAGUCCACGCCGUAAACGAUGAUUACUUAUCAUUGGCGAUAAACUGUCAGUGUCCAAGCGAAAGUGUUAAGUGAUCCACCUGGGGAGUACGGUCGCAAGAUUGAAACUCAAAGGAAUUGACGGGGGCCCGCACAAGCGGUGGAGCAUGUGGUUUAAUUCGAUGAUACGCGAGGAACCUUACCUGGGCUUAAAUGUAGAUUGACAGAUUGGGAAACCAGUCCUCCUUCGAGCAAAUUACAAGGUGCUGCAUGCCUGUCGUCAGCUCGUGCCGUGAGGUGUCGGGUUAAGUCCCAUAACGAGCGCAACCCCUAUUGUUAGUUGCCAGCGGAUAAUGCCGGGGACUCUAACGAGACUGCCACCGUAAGGUGUGAGGAAGGUGGGGAUGACGUCAAGUCAGCACGGCCCUUAUGUCCAGGGCUACACACGUGUUACAAUGGUCGGUACAAAGGGCAGCUACCUGGUGACAGGGUGCUAAUCUCAAAAGCCGAUCUCAGUUCGGAUCGAAGUCUGCAACUCGACUUCGUGAAGUUGGAUUCGCUAGUAAUCGUAUAUCAGCAACGAUACGGUGAAUACGUUCCCGGGCCUUGUACACACCGCCCGUCAAGCCAUGGAAGCUGGGGGUACCUGAAGUCCGUAACCGCAAGGAUCGGCCUAGGGUAAAACUAGUGACUGGGGCUAAGUCGUAACA